UGGGGGAUAUUGCACAAUGGGCGAAAGCCUGAUGCAGCGACGCCGCGUGGGGGAUGAAGGCUUUCGGGUUGUAAACCUCUUUCGCUAUCGAACAAGGCCCGCUUAGGGUGGGGUGAGGGUAGGUGGAGAAGAAGCGCCGGCUAACUACGUGCCAGCAGCCGCGGUAAUACGUAGGGCGCGAGCGUUGUCCGGAAUUAUUGGGCGUAAAGGGCUUGUAGGCGGCUUGUUGCGCCUGCUGUGAAAACGCGGGGCUUAACUUCGGGAGUGCAGUGGGUACGGGCAGGCUUGAGUGUGGUACGGGUGGCUGGAAUUCCAGGUGUAGCGGUGGAAUGCGCAGAUAUCUGGAGGAACACCGAUGGCGAAGGCAGGUCACUGGGCCAUUACUGACGCUGAGGAGCGAAAGCAUGGGUAGCGAACAGG
Molecule: ribosomal RNA, 420 nt
Filed under: bacterium
Lineage: Bacteria
Description: partial 16S ribosomal RNA
Rfam family: Bacterial small subunit ribosomal RNA
Source: RNAcentral